GUAGACUCCAUAUUCUGAUGGGGAAUGGCAUGUUCCCACAGGUAAGAAAGGAACUGAUGGCAGCCGUCUUGGAAAAUAAGCUGCCAUAUUUUUUAUUAAGCUCCAGGUAGUCAUUCAGGGAGUCAACCUGUAACUUCUAAGGUCAUCCCAGGUGUUUCCUUCAUCCCAGACAUCCAGACAUGUGGAAGAAGGAGGGAACAUAUGCAGCAUAUUUUUGAACAUGGCCUGAAAGGGGCACAUAGCACUUCAACUUACAGUCCAUUGACUAGAACUCGGCUACAGGGUCACACCUGACCUCAAGGGAGGCUGAGAAUGGAGCUUCUCUGUGGAUCCAGAAAAAAGAAGACAACAGGGUUCUUGUGAGUUUUCUUAAAAAAAAAAAUCUAUUUGGACAGUCAGAAAUGAGCAAUGAAUGACCUUAUUGUACUGUGGCUGUUUGCCACGCUGAGUGGAAAGCUCCAGAGCCGCAAGACUGACAGGGGGUGAAAAUGCAUCUGAGAAGACAGAACCUUUUCCUAUCUUCAUCAUGUAUGUUUACAUAAUAAAAUCAUAUGCAUGAUUAUCAGA
Molecule: long non-coding RNA, 567 nt
Organism: Gorilla gorilla gorilla (western lowland gorilla)
Lineage: Eukaryota; Metazoa; Chordata; Mammalia; Primates; Hominidae
Exons: 2
Source: RefSeq, a predicted model, not a curated record